This 329-nucleotide unclassified non-coding RNA is filed under the name soil metagenome. RNAcentral describes it as "partial contains 5.8S ribosomal RNA, internal transcribed spacer 2, and large subunit ribosomal RNA". The stretch from base 1 to 120 matches the Rfam family "5.8S ribosomal RNA", at positions 35 to 154 of the family's 154-position model. The record is from RNAcentral.
GAUGAAGAACGUAGCGAAAUGCGAUAAGUAAUGUGAAUUGCAGAAUUCAGUGAAUCAUCGAAUCUUUGAACGCACAUUGCGCCCCUUGGUAUUCCGAGGGGCAUGCCUGUUCGAGCGUCAUUAUAACCCCUCAAGCUCUGCUUGGUGUUGGGGCCUGCUGCACUGGCAGCCCUUAAAAUCAGUGGCGGCGCCAUCUGGCUCUAAGCGUAGUAAUUCUUCUCGCUAUGGAGUCCUGGUGGAUGCUUGCCAUCAACCCCCAAUUUUUCUAUGGUUGACCUCGGAUCAGGUAGGGAUACCCGCUGAACUUAAGCAUAUCAAUAAGCGGAGGA